GACGAACGCUGGCGGCGUGCUUAACACAUGCAAGUGGAGCGACGAACCAGGGCUUGCCCUGGGGCAGAGCCGCGAACGGGUGAGUAACACGUGGGUAACGUACCCCGAUGACUGGGACAACCCGGGGAAACCCGGGCUAAUACCGGAUGUGCACCCUCACAUCAGUGAGGUGUGUAAAGGAAGCUUCGGCCUCCGCGUUGGGAUCGGCCCGCGGCGCAUUAGCUUGUUGGUGAGGUAACGGCUCACCAAGGCCGCGAUGCGUAGCUGGUCUGAGAGGACGAUCAGCCACACUGGGACUGAGACACGGCCCAGACUCCUACGGGAGGCAGCAGUGGGGAAUCUUGCGCAAUGGGCGAAAGCCUGACGCAGCGACGCCGCGUGAGGGAUGACGGCCUCGG
RNAcentral lists this ribosomal RNA (398 nucleotides) under uncultured bacterium. Its description in RNAcentral is "bacterial SSU rRNA". It matches the Rfam family "Bacterial small subunit ribosomal RNA", at positions 28 to 420 of the family's 1533-position model. The record is from RNAcentral.